Molecule: ribosomal RNA, 478 nt
Filed under: uncultured organism
Description: partial 16S ribosomal RNA
Rfam family: Bacterial small subunit ribosomal RNA
Source: RNAcentral
CGUACACUCCUACGGGAGGCAGCAGUGGGGAAUAUUGCACAAUGGGCGCAAGCCUGAUGCAGCCAUGCCGCGUGUAUGAAGAAGGCCUUCGGGUUGUAAAGUACUUUCAGCGGGGAGGAAGGCGAUAAGGUUAAUAACCUUGUCGAUUGACGUUACCCGCAGAAGAAGCACCGGCUAACUCCGUGCCAGCAGCCGCGGUAAUACGGAGGGUGCAAGCGUUAAUCGGAAUUACUGGGCGUAAAGCGCACGCAGGCGGUCUGUCAAGUCGGAUGUGAAAUCCCCGGGCUCAACCUGGGAACUGCAUUCGAAACUGGCAGGCUAGAGUCUUGUAGAGGGGGGUAGAAUUCCAGGUGUAGCGGUGAAAUGCGUAGAGAUCUGGAGGAAUACCGGUGGCGAAGGCGGCCCCCUGGACAAAGACUGACGCUCAGGUGCGAAAGCGUGGGGAGCAAACAGGAUUAGAAACCCCUGUAGUCCCAUG